This 77-nucleotide transfer RNA is filed under the name Clostridiales bacterium. RNAcentral's name for it is "tRNA-Asn". It matches the Rfam family "tRNA". Rfam says of the family: Transfer RNA (tRNA) molecules are approximately 80 nucleotides in length. The record is from RNAcentral. Lineage: Bacteria; Bacillati; Bacillota; Clostridia; Eubacteriales.
UUCCGGGUAGCUCAGCUGGUAGUAGCGUUCGGCCGUUAACCGAAAGGUCGUGGGUUCGAGCCCCACCCCGGGAGCCA